UACGGAGGGUGCAAGCGUUAUCCGGAUUCACUGGGUUUAAAGGGAGCGUAGGUGGGCAGGUAAGUCAGUGGUGAAAUCUCUGGGCUUAACCCGGAAACUGCCAUUGAUACUAUCUGCCUUGAAUAUUCUGGAGGUAAGCGGAAUAUGUCAUGUAGCGGUGAAAUGCUUAGAUAUGACAUAGAACACCCAUUGCGAAGGCAGCUUACUACGGAACUAUUGACACUGAGGCUCGAAAGCGUGGGGAUCAAACAGG
Molecule: ribosomal RNA, 253 nt
Filed under: uncultured bacterium
Lineage: Bacteria
Description: partial 16S ribosomal RNA
Rfam family: Bacterial small subunit ribosomal RNA
Source: RNAcentral